This 450-nucleotide ribosomal RNA is filed under the name uncultured bacterium. RNAcentral's name for it is "partial 16S ribosomal RNA". It matches the Rfam family "Bacterial small subunit ribosomal RNA", at positions 354 to 796 of the family's 1533-position model. The record is from RNAcentral.
GUGGGGAAUAUUGGACAAUGGGCGAAAGCCUGAUCCAGCCAUGCCGCGUGUGUGAAGAAGGUCUUCGGAUUGUAAAGCACUUUAAGUUGGGAGGAAGGGUAGUAACCUAAUACGUUGCUACUUUGACGUUACCGACAGAAUAAGCACCGGCUAACUUCGUGCCAGCAGCCGCGGUAAUACGAAGGGUGCAAGCGUUAAUCGGAAUUACUGGGCGUAAAGCGCGCGUAGGUGGUUCAGUAAGUUGGAAGUGAAAUCCCCGGGCUCAACCUGGGAACUGCUUUGAAAACUGCUGAGCUAGAGUACGGUAGAGGGUGGUGGAAUUUCCUGUGUAGCGGUGAAAUGCGUAGAUAUAGGAAGGAACACCAGUGGCGAAGGCGACCACCUGGACUGAUACUGACACUGAGGUGCGAAAGCGUGGGGAGCAAACAGGAUUAGAUACCCGAGUAGUCC